CAGGCUGCAACUCGCCUGUAUGAAGUCGGAAUUGCUAGUAAUCGCGGAUCAGCAUGCCGCGGUGAAUACGUUCCCGGGCCUUGUACACACCGCCCGUCACACCAUGAGAGCCGGGAACACCCGAAGUCCGUAGUCUAACCGUAAGGAGGACGCGGCCGAAGGUGGGUUUGGUAAUUGGGGUGAAGUCGUAACAAGGUACC
This 200-nucleotide ribosomal RNA is filed under the name uncultured bacterium. Its description in RNAcentral is "partial 16S ribosomal RNA". It matches the Rfam family "Bacterial small subunit ribosomal RNA", at positions 1301 to 1500 of the family's 1533-position model. The record is from RNAcentral.